UACAGGGGGUGCAAACGUUGCUCGGAAUCAUUGGGCGUAAAGCGCACGUAGGCGGUUCGUUAUGUCGGAUGUGAAAGCCCUUGGCUUAACCGAGGAAGUGCAUCCGAAACUGGCGAGCUAGAGUACUAAAGAGGAUCGCGGAAUUCCCGGUGUAGAGGUGAAAUUCGUAGAUAUCGGGAGGAACACCGGUGGCGAAGGCGGCGAUCUGGGCAGAUACUGACGCUGAGGUGCGAAAGCGUGGGGAGCAAACAGG
Molecule: ribosomal RNA, 253 nt
Filed under: uncultured bacterium
Lineage: Bacteria
Description: partial 16S ribosomal RNA
Rfam family: Bacterial small subunit ribosomal RNA
Source: RNAcentral